This 22-nucleotide microRNA is filed under the name Sarcophilus harrisii (Tasmanian devil). Its description in RNAcentral is "Sha-Novel-20_3p* (star (passenger))". Lineage: Eukaryota; Metazoa; Chordata; Mammalia; Dasyuromorphia; Dasyuridae. The record is from RNAcentral.
GAGUAACUCUGAGAUUUGAACC